RNAcentral lists this ribosomal RNA (405 nucleotides) under uncultured eukaryote. RNAcentral describes it as "SSU rRNA". It matches the Rfam family "Eukaryotic small subunit ribosomal RNA", at positions 587 to 972 of the family's 1831-position model. The record is from RNAcentral.
AGCUCCAAUAGCGUAUAUUAAAGUUGCUGCAGUUAAAAAGCUCGUAGUUGGAUUUCUGGUUUGAUUACGUCUGACCCGUCAUGGUUACAUGAAUAGUGUGUCGGUACGUAGCGACCAUCCUUCUAGAACAUUCAUGUCACGCUUCUUUACUGAAGAUGACGCGAAUCGGUCUAGAUCUUUUACUUUGAAAAAAUUAGAGUGUUUAAAGCAGGCAGUGUUUGCUAUGAAUACAUUAGCAUGGAAUAAUCAUGUAGGACUGUUAUCGGUCUUAUUUUGUUGGUUUCGCGGGCUGAAGUCAUGAUUGAUAGGGAUAGUUGGGGGUGCUAGUAUUCAGUGGCCAGAGGUGAAAUUCUCGGAUUCACUGAAGACUGACUUAUGCGAAAGCAUUCACCAAGGAUGUCUCCU